RNAcentral lists this ribosomal RNA (420 nucleotides) under uncultured Allobrachymonas sp. RNAcentral's name for it is "bacterial SSU rRNA". It matches the Rfam family "Bacterial small subunit ribosomal RNA", at positions 958 to 1382 of the family's 1533-position model. Lineage: Bacteria; Pseudomonadati; Pseudomonadota; Betaproteobacteria; Burkholderiales; Comamonadaceae. The record is from RNAcentral.
AACGACGAAAACCUUACCCACCUUUGACAUGGCAGGAAUCCCGAAGAGAUUUGGGAGUGCUCGAAAGAGAACCUGCACACAGGUGCUGCAUGGCUGUCGUCAGCUCGUGUCGUGAGAUGUUGGGUUAAGUCCCGCAACGAGCGCAACCCUUGCCAUUAGUUGCUACGAAAGGGCACUCUAAUGGGACUGCCGGUGACAAACCGGAGGAAGGUGGGGAUGACGUCAAGUCCUCAUGGCCCUUAUAGGUGGGGCUACACACGUCAUACAAUGGCCGGUACAGAGGGUAGCCAACCCGCGAGGGGGAGCCAAUCCCACAAAGCCGGUCGUAGUCCGGAUCGCAGUCUGCAACUCGACUGCGUGAAGUCGGAAUCGCUAGUAAUCGCGGAUCAGCAUGUCGCGGUGAAUACGUUCCCGGGUCUU